RNAcentral lists this ribosomal RNA (440 nucleotides) under uncultured bacterium. RNAcentral describes it as "bacterial SSU rRNA". It matches the Rfam family "Bacterial small subunit ribosomal RNA", at positions 338 to 795 of the family's 1533-position model. The record is from RNAcentral.
CCUACGGGGGGCAGCAGUGGGGAAUAUUGCACAAUGGGGGAAACCCUGAUGCAGCAACGUCGCGUGAGCGAAGAAGGCCUUCGGGUCGUAAAGCUCUGUCCUAAGGGAAGAAGCAUGACGGUACCUUAGGAGGAAGCCCCGGCUAACUACGUGCCAGCAGCCGCGGUAAUACGUAGGGGGCGAGCGUUAUCCGGAAUCACUGGGCGUAAAGGGUGCGUAGGCGGCCGAUUAAGCCAGGGGUGACAGGCUUCGGCCCAACCGUAGUAAGCCUUUGGGACUGAUGGGCUUGAGUGCAGGGGAGGAUGGUGGGAUUCCUAGUGUAGCGGUUAAAUGAGUGGAGAUUAGGAGGAACACCAGUGGCGAAGGCGACUCUCUGGACUGUAACUGACGCUGAGGCACGAAAGCGUGGGGAGCAAACAGGAUUAGAUACCCUUGUAGUC